GACGAACCGUCCUAACGUUGUUCGGAAUCACUGGGCUUAAAGGGCGCGUAGGCGGGCGAUCCAGUCCGGGGUGAAAUCUUUCGGCUUAACCGGAAAACAGCCUUGGAUACUGAUCGUCUCGAGGGAGGUAGGGGCCUGUGGAACUUCCGGUGGAGCGGUGAAAUGCGUUGAUAUCGGAAGGAACGCCGGUGGCGAAAGCGACGGGCUGGACCUCUUCUGACGCUGAGGCGCGAAAGCUAGGGGAGCAAACGGG
RNAcentral lists this ribosomal RNA (253 nucleotides) under uncultured bacterium. RNAcentral's name for it is "partial 16S ribosomal RNA". It matches the Rfam family "Bacterial small subunit ribosomal RNA", at positions 524 to 776 of the family's 1533-position model. The record is from RNAcentral.